RNAcentral lists this ribosomal RNA (916 nucleotides) under Bacillus sonorensis. RNAcentral's name for it is "bacterial SSU rRNA". It matches the Rfam family "Bacterial small subunit ribosomal RNA", at positions 42 to 923 of the family's 1533-position model. Lineage: Bacteria; Bacillati; Bacillota; Bacilli; Caryophanales; Bacillaceae. The record is from RNAcentral.
GCGCUGCCUAAUAAUGCAAGUCGAGCGGACAGAUGGGAGCUUGCUCCCUGAUGUCAGCGGCGGACGGGUGAGUAACACGUGGGUAACCUGCCUGUAAGACUGGGAUAACUCCGGGAAACCGGGGCUAAUACCGGAUGCUUGAUUGAACCGCAUGGUUCAAUUAUAAAAGGUGGCUUUUACCUACCACUUACAGAUGGACCCCCGGCGCAUUAGCUAGUUGGUGAGGUAACGGCUCACCAAGGCAACAAUGCUUAGCCAACCUGAGAGGGUGAUCGGCCACACUGGGACUGAGACACGGCCCAAACUCCUACGGGAGGCAGCAGUAGGGAAUCUUCCGCAAUGAACAAAAGUCUGACGGACCACCCCCCCGUGAUUGAUAAAGGUUUUCGGAUCGUAAAACUCUGUUGUUAGGGAAGAACAAGUCCCGUUCAAAUAGGGCGGUACCUUGACGGUACCUAACCAGAAAGCCACGGCUAACUACUUGCCACCACCCCCGGUAAUACGUAGGUGGCAAGCUUUGUCCGGAAUUAUGGGGCGUAAAGCCCGCGCAGGCGGUUUCUUAAUUCUAAUGUGAAACCCCCCGGCUCAACCGGGAAGGGUCAUUGGAAACUGGGAAACUUGAUUGCAAAAAAGAAAAGUGAAAUUCCACUUGUAGCGUUAAAAUGCUUAAAAAUUUGAAGGAACACCAUUGGCAAAGGCAACUCUCUGGCCUGUAACUAACCCUAAGCCCCAAAAACCUUGGGGGAGCGAACAGAAUAAGAUACCCUGGUAGUCCCCCGCCGUAAAACAAUAAGUGCUAAAGUGUAAGAGGGUUUUCCGCCCUUUAUUGCUGCAGCAAACCCCAUUAAGCCACUCCCCCCUGGGGAAUUACGGUCCGCAGGACUGAAACCUCAAAAGGAAUUUGAACGGGGGGCCC